ACGCGAAAGAAACCCUUACCCUACCCCUUGACAUGGCCAGGAAGCAAUAAGACCGAGAGGUGAGUGUGCCCGAAAGGGAGCCUGGACACAGGUGCUGCAUGGCUGUCGUCAGCUCGUGUCGUGAGAUGUUGGGUUAAGUCCCGCAACGAGCGCAACCCUUGUCACUAGUUGCUACGCAAGGGCACUCUAGUGAGACUGCCGGUGACAAACCGGAGGAAGGUGGGGAUGACGUCAAGUCCUCAUGGCCCUUAUGGGUAGGGCUUCACACGUCAUACAAUGGCGCAUACAGAGGGCUGCCAACCCGCGAGGGGGAGCCAAUCCCAGAAAGUGCGUCGUAGUCCGGAUUGCAGAUACUGCAACUCGACUGCAUGAAAGUCGGAAUCGCUAGUAAUCGCGGAUCAGCAAUGUCGCGGUGAAUACGUUCCCGGGUCUGUACACACCG
This 442-nucleotide ribosomal RNA is filed under the name uncultured bacterium. Its description in RNAcentral is "bacterial SSU rRNA". It matches the Rfam family "Bacterial small subunit ribosomal RNA", at positions 959 to 1392 of the family's 1533-position model. The record is from RNAcentral.